This 430-nucleotide ribosomal RNA is filed under the name Bacteroidota bacterium. RNAcentral describes it as "Bacteroidetes bacterium partial 16S ribosomal RNA". It matches the Rfam family "Bacterial small subunit ribosomal RNA", at positions 355 to 777 of the family's 1533-position model. Lineage: Bacteria; Pseudomonadati; Bacteroidota. The record is from RNAcentral.
UAGGGAAUCUUCCGCAAUGGACGCAAGUCUGACGGAGCAACGCCGCGUGAGUGAAGAAGGAUUUCGGUUCGUAAAACUCUGUUGUUAGAGAAGAACAGCGCAUAGAGUAACUGUUAUGCGUGUGACGGUAUCUAACCAGAAAGCCACGGCUAACUACGUGCCAGCAGCCGCGGUAAUACGUAGGUGGCAAGCGUUAUCCGGAAUUAUUGGGCGUAAAGCGCGCGUAGGCGGUUUUUUAAGUCUGAUGUGAAAGCCCACGGCUCAACCGUGGAGGGUCAUUGGAAACUGGAAAACUUGAGUGCAGAAGAGGAAAGUGGAAUUCCAUGUGUAGCGGUGAAAUGCGCAGAGAUAUGGAGGAACACCAGUGGCGAAGGCGACUUUCUGGUCUGUAACUGACGCUGAUGUGCGAAAGCGUGGGGAUCAAACAGGA